CGACAACAACAGCUCGUGCUGUCGGACUUUUUCAUGAGGUUUCACUUCCCUCAUUGGACUGACUGAAGACAGGCUUGAAUGGAUUCUUGACCUGUUUACGCGCUGGGGAUAUAACCACUUACACUUCGCGUGUCUAUAAAUGUCAUCAAAAUAAUAACAGGACACGGAACAGAUUAGAGUAAUAAACCCUCUAGAAACUCAAACCAAGUUAGUUUUUUUCCUCGAGACGCCUCAUUAGCCAUUUUUUUUCAACCGAGGAGCGCAACAUGAGGAUUUUACUGGGAGUGUUUAUGGUGCUAAUUGUCUCAGGUGAUGACGAGACUAUCACAGGAGUCUUAGACGACAGUGUCCUCCUGCCGUGCACCUGCCCAGAGAGAAAUUUGGACAAGGAGUUUAAGUGGCAGAUGGAAGAACCAAACAUGAUGCUGGUGCUUAAACACAACUCGCCCGCCUCAGUCUUCUAUGGCAGAUACAGAGGCAGGGCCAGAGUAUUGCUGGAUGAGAGCAGCAGAAACUGCUCUCUCCUCCUAACCAACAUCACAGCUGAUGACGUGGGGAAAUACAGAUGUGUUUUUUACAGUCAAGGGAAAUACAAGAAAUUCUUUGUAAAUCUAAACAUCUCUGCCAGCUACAAUGUCUGUCAAAAGCCGUCCGCCAACAACCCGAAUGGUGAUUUAAGUGUGAAGGGUUUCCAGUGUGACGCAGAAGGACGCUACGGGGAGGCUGAGCUUCAGUGGAAUUUGGAUGGACAGCUUCUGACAAAUUCACCCACAACGCACAUAACCCACAGCAAAACCCUGAACGCUUCUACCGGCCUCUACCAUCUCACCAGCAGGCUCGUCACUCAACUCAACGGAACCUCAGAACCUAAAUGUGAUGUCAAGGCCAAAGAUGUAUCAACCAUCAUUAGCAAUGACUGCGGGGCAGAGAGCAGAGAGCGGUCAUGUUUUUGAAACUUUCUUAAAUUUCAGCAGGAUUUUUAAAAAAUCCAGUCAUCCACCAACCAGAAGACUUCUUUAGAUCCCGGUACCUGAUAAUCAUUCCCAUUAUGAUGGUGCUUGGAGUUACCCUGCUCUUACGAUGUCGCUGGGAAUCCUCGUGGAGUUUACCAAAGAGAAAAGAAGUGAAGACGGGCAACAUUUAAACACACAAUAUGAUCUGCAACAACAAUGUGAAUAUGUGAAAGCAUUUUCCACCAAAAGGUGGUAUGUCAUGACUAUGGCCUCAUGCCACCACAGAGACUGUUUACAGGCAGGUUACAUCCUGUUUCCAUUCCACUCAUGGAAUUCUUUGUUUCAGCAAAGGGUGUCCAUUUUCAUAGUUUUUAUGGAUGUUUUCUGGCAGAUGUGUAUACUCUUUCGAGUUUCCUUCAAAGUCAAGGACUGUACAAAGAGAUCGUCCACUAUGAUGUGAAGAUGAAGUCAUAAAUUUAGAUGCAGUCAGUAAUAAACAAAGCACAAAAACCACAGAAAUCCCCACACAACAUAAAUAAAGCGCUGGAUGUGUUCACUGUUGCAGAUACUGUGGAAUUCAGUCAGAAUAACCACUCUUUGGAAAAAUUGUCUUGUUGAUAGGAUUAAUUGUCGACAAGGCAAUAAAGUUAAACCAUAAAAAUACAAACUACUUUUCAGCCUUUAUGUUCUUAACGUCCUUCAUUUCAUUCAGAAACACAGCAAAAAACUGAGACAGUUACUGAUUGCUUGUUGAUACCGUGGUUGUUCUGUAGAGAUACUGUAAGUGCCAUGAUUUAAAUAUGAGAAAAGAAAGUUAUUAAUGCAGAGAUAUUUGCCAUAGCCACUUUAGACAACUUGGUCUGAUAACACUUUGCAACAAUUACGAUAAUAUUCUGCUUAUGCACCACACAUUUUAUACAAAAAUGAUCAUUAUUUUUUUUUAUUAGCGUAGAGGUGAUAUUUACACAGCGUGAUACAUGUGCUAUGCAUUGUUCAUUUCCAUGUAAAUACAAUGUAAUGCAGACAUUAAUAGAAGGCGUAUAACAUGUAUGUGCCUAAGGCUGACUAUUUGCUGUGAAUGCUUGACAAAGUCCUUGGACAAGCUUCUUCUUUUCUCAUAUUUUGGUGUGGUAAAAUCUAACCUGUUCUUCUGUAACUCCUUUUCUACUGCACUCGUUACACUGAAUGUUGUUGCUUUGUUUCACUUUUGUAAAUUAACAGGUUAUGGUCAUUAUAUGUAUUACAUCACGGUUUAGAGGGAACCCUGCAACAGUUUUGUAAAAUUCAUGUAUAAAUGCUAAAAAAAAAUGUAUAGAUGCUAAAAGGUCAUAUGCCUGACUUUUGGUGUCAUGCCAAUGCCUGCAAAUGAAACUUAAAAAAAACAAAAAAACAUUUAUAUCUUUUCACAUUUGAAAAAUGUUCUUGAACUGGGACUAAGUGAACUGGGGAAACAUGCUGCUGGUUCGGAUGGCCAGUCCACCAUUGGUCCUUUAUUCUGGUUUUAGUCAGCAGCUUUGUUUCUGUAGCAGCAAACAACAAAGCACACCCCAACUCUUAGGCAAGCUGGAAAACAAUGAAUAAAUAUGUGACAGCAUGAAGAGGUGGACUUUUUCAAGGUCAACAAAAGGUUCAAAUGAAAUCUACCCUGAAAUGCAUUUCUAAGGAGAGAAAAAAACGAAUAACCCUUUAAUCCACAUUACAAUCCUUGUGUGUUUUUGUAUGACACUGUUAUGUUUUCGAGUUCAUAAUUCCUCAUGGUGUUUUUUAUCCUGCCAUCAUUGUCACUUGUGUUUUCUUUUUGUAGAUUGUUUUGAUAUGUGCUGAACAACAAAACACUGUAAAAAGGUUAGGUUGCACAACAUAUUCUUGGCCACAGGACAUCACUUUUACUGAACAGGUUUCCUACAUGUUGAGACUGGUUAAUGGAUCUUGAUCUAAGAGCAAAUUCAGACUUAUUUUUGUGUAGCUGGAAGAAAUGUGGCAAUACAGUAUGUGUGUGAGUGUAUGAGAGGUUACAAGAGCAUCGAAAUUGUUAAUUGUGGUCCUCUGCAUCAUCUACCUGAAAUCAGCUAAGGCAUUUCACAGUACAAUUUUAUGUUUGUCAAUAUUUUCCAGAUCACUUUAUGAUCCCUAAUGCAGCAAAUCAAUAAAGUUUGACAAAAAAAG
This is an RNA transcript of Chelmon rostratus (copperband butterflyfish), 3119 nucleotides long. It is a transcript of the gene named butyrophilin subfamily 3 member A2-like, with no coding region annotated. Lineage: Eukaryota; Metazoa; Chordata; Actinopteri; Chaetodontiformes; Chaetodontidae. The record is from RefSeq and is a predicted model, not a curated record. The transcript has 5 exons.